GAUGAACGCUGGCGGCAUGCUUUACACAUGCAAGUCGAACGGUAACAGGUUAAGCUGACGAGUGGCGAACGGGUGAGUAAUGCAUCGGAACGUGCCCGGUCGUGGGGGAUAACACUUCGAAAGAAGUGCUAAUACCGCAUACGAUCUGAGGAUGAAAGCGGGGGACCGUAAGGCCUCGCGCGAUCGGAGCGGCCGAUGUCAGAUUAGGUAGAGGGUGGGGUAAAGGGACACCAAGCCGACGAUCUGUAGCUGGUCUGAGAGGACGACCAGCCACACUGGGACUGAGACACGGCCCAGACUCCUACGGGGGGCAGCAGUGUGGAAUUUUAGACAAUGGGCGAAAGCCUGAUCCAGCAAUGCCGCGUGCAGGAAGAAGGCCUUCGGGUUGUAAACUGCUUUUGUACGGAGCGAGAAGGCUCUCUCUAAUACAGGGGGCUCAUGACGGUACCGUAAGAAUAAGCACCGGCUAACUACGUGCCAGCCGCCGCCGUAA
This 493-nucleotide ribosomal RNA is filed under the name uncultured bacterium. RNAcentral describes it as "partial 16S ribosomal RNA". It matches the Rfam family "Bacterial small subunit ribosomal RNA", at positions 28 to 523 of the family's 1533-position model. The record is from RNAcentral.